RNAcentral lists this non-coding RNA (109 nucleotides) under Streptomyces sp. RNAcentral's name for it is "SAM-IV sequence". It matches the Rfam family "SAM (S-adenosyl methionine) riboswitch aptamer". From Rfam's summary of the family: SAM-IV is a mRNA element that regulates gene expression via direct sensing of S-adenosylmethionine (SAM or AdoMet). SAM-IV riboswitches share conserved nucleotide positions with the previously described SAM-I riboswitches sequence analysis and molecular recognition experiments suggest that SAM-I and SAM-IV riboswitches share similar ligand binding sites, but have different scaffolds. Lineage: Bacteria; Bacillati; Actinomycetota; Actinomycetes; Kitasatosporales; Streptomycetaceae. The record is from RNAcentral. RNAcentral also lists the same sequence under 1 other name.
GGUCAUGAGCGUCAGCGAUAAGCCCUGGCUUGCUGACCGGCAACCCUCCCACCGCGGUGGGGUGCCCCAGGUGACGACCCGACCGAUGAUGUCUCGGUAAGCGCGAGGC